RNAcentral lists this unclassified non-coding RNA (343 nucleotides) under soil metagenome. RNAcentral describes it as "partial contains 5.8S ribosomal RNA, internal transcribed spacer 2, and large subunit ribosomal RNA". The stretch from base 1 to 120 matches the Rfam family "5.8S ribosomal RNA", at positions 35 to 154 of the family's 154-position model. The record is from RNAcentral.
GAUGAAGAACGUAGCGAAAUGCGAUAAGUAAUGUGAAUUGCAUAAUUCAGUGAAUCAUCGAAUCUUUGAACGCACAUUGCGCCCGCUAGUAUUCUGGCGGGCAUGCCUGUCCGAGCGUCAUUUCAACCCUCAAGCCCCCGGGCUUGGUGUUGGGGAUCGGCGAGCCUCCGCGCCCGCCGUCCCCUAAAUCUAGUGGCGGUCUCGCUGUAGCUUCCUCUGCGUAGUAGCACACCUCGCACUGGGAAACAGCGCGGCCACGCCGUUAAACCCCCAACUUCUGAACGUUUGACCUCGGAUCAGGUAGGAAUACCCGCUGAACUUAAGCAUAUCAAUAAGCGGAGGA